Molecule: ribosomal RNA, 497 nt
Filed under: uncultured bacterium
Lineage: Bacteria
Description: partial 16S ribosomal RNA
Rfam family: Bacterial small subunit ribosomal RNA
Source: RNAcentral
GAUGAACGCUGGCGGCGUGCCUAAUACAUGCAAGUCGAGCGAACAGAUGAGGCGCUUGCUCCUCUGACGUUAGCGGCGGACGGGUGAGUAACACGUGGAUAACCUACCUAUAAGACUUGGAUAACUUCAGGAAACCGGAUCUAAUACCGGAUAAUAUAUUGAACCGCAUGGUUCAAUAGUGAAAGACGGUUUUGCUGUCACUUAUAGAUGUAUCCGCGCCGCAUUAGCUAGUUGGUAAGGUAACGGCUUACCAAGGCAACGAUGCGUAGCCGACCUGAGAGGGUGAUCGGCCACACUGGAACUGAGACACGGUCCAGACUCCUACGGGAGGCAGCAGUAGGGAAUCUUCCGCAAUGGGCGAAAGCCUGACGGAGCAACGCCGCGUGAGUGAUGAAGGUCUUCGGAUCGUAAAACUCUGUUAUUAGGGAAGAACAAAUGUGUAAGUAACUAUGCACGUCUUGACGGUACCUAAUCAGAAAGCCACGGCUAACUACGUG